GAAAAUGAUAUUGUAGAGCAUUUCAUAUAUAAAAUUAACCCCAAUUCACCUAAAACAUCCAUUUUAUUCAUUUAUUAUUUUUUUGAAAACGUCAACCCCUAAUACAACUAUAUAUCAAUAGCGGAAGUAGCAAGAAAUAUCAAACAUGUACAUUUUUUUUUUGUAAAAAGGCUUUCAAUUAAAAAACAAAGUACAAGAUGUGAUUUGUUGUCAAACAUGUACAUUCAAAAGACCAAAACAACGAUCAAAAUGAGUAACAAGAAAGGCCAAGUUUAUUCAGAUCACAAACAGUACAAUACACAUAUAAAUAUGAUAAUAUAAAGCUGCUUCCCGUAACUAAUAUGUCGAAUGCAUGGAACAACCGAUAUUGUCCGGGAACGGAGGCGGCGGAAGUCAG
Molecule: long non-coding RNA, 397 nt
Filed under: Brassica rapa (field mustard)
Lineage: Eukaryota; Viridiplantae; Streptophyta; Magnoliopsida; Brassicales; Brassicaceae
Description: long non-coding RNA (BRAP_LNC001926)
Source: RNAcentral